RNAcentral lists this long non-coding RNA (580 nucleotides) under Felis catus (domestic cat). Its description in RNAcentral is "lncRNA (ENSFCAG00000043080.2)". Lineage: Eukaryota; Metazoa; Chordata; Mammalia; Carnivora; Felidae. The record is from RNAcentral.
UCUUACUAUGCCUGUUUUCUGGUUGGGACCAAGACCUUCUAGCCACCUGUUAAGGUGAUUGUGGGAGAAGAAAGGUGCAACCCACAACUCCCGUGUGCACCUUUGGGACACCGAGGCUGGACUAGAGCGGAUGCAGCGGUACAUCUGUGGUCAUAGCACCUCUGAAUGACUGAGAAGUCCUAUCGUAGUCACAGAAGCAACUCACCGGCUGUGUACAGACAUUAUAAAGUCAACACCAUGAGAUGCAAACAAAUUACUGUCAGGCAUCCAGCUUUUGUUCUCCUAAUUCAAGCACGGACAAUCCACAGACUCCUUUACCUCACCUGCUGCGUGAUUCCCAGGUGAAACAAGUGAGGUGUAGAGAGGUUGAAUGACUUGGCCAAGCCACCCGGCUAGUACGCGGUGUGGGGAGAUGCGUACUCAGCUGCUCUGCACCCUGGACAACACUACACUGACUCCCUUUACAGAGACGCUACCUGUUUAAGGCCACCCAAACUCCGUGCAGAAGGCUUGAAAUGAGCGCUCAGUAACAUCUUGGAAGAAACUGCAUUUCCGGGCAACCUCCCAUACCCUACAUUCC